RNAcentral lists this long non-coding RNA (3545 nucleotides) under Homo sapiens (human). RNAcentral describes it as "HSALNT0301908". Lineage: Eukaryota; Metazoa; Chordata; Mammalia; Primates; Hominidae. The record is from RNAcentral.
GUUAUUAGAGAUGAUGGAGGUUAAAAGGAUGCUGCUUAACAAAGAUAAAAGCUCACUUAGACUAGUAAUCUUUUUUUCUUUUUAAAGAAACAUAGGAUUACAGAAAUAUUUAAUGAAUUAAUAAGGUACUUCUCAACACAUUUUUUUCAUUGCCAACUAGUUUUUCCAGGUUAUGUACAUAAUUGAAAAAGUGUUGUGUUGCGUGUUAUGCUUUGAUGCAGUCUUGUUUUGUAAUCCAUUGCUUUCAAAUUUCUAUCAUCAUCUUCUAAUUAUCUUAAAUUUGCACUGUGCUACUAGAAUAGAAUGAUGGUAUUAUUACUAUUAUUACUGGCAGCAGAAUUGAAACCUGGAGUAUAAGUGGUUUGCAGACCAUUCAUAGAUUCAUGUAACCGUAGAGAUUCAUGGUUGAGUAGUUGAGCACCUGACUUCUAUGGGAAAAGCAGCGCUCUUCAAGUUACUGCCUAAUUAACAAACACACUUCAUGGAUUGAGGAUUUAAAGGGGAAGAAUGGUCAUGCUUAGUACAAUUGAAUGCAUAUUUGCUACUAAUUACAUAUACCUCACAUUUUCUCUUAGAGACCAACUGCUUUAAAAAUAUUUUAUUAAAUGUUUUUGUUACCCUGACAGAGAUACAUUCCUUUAAGGGUGUUUUCAGCAAAACAUUCAAGUUUUCAGGAAGUAUUAUCUUUCUUUCCUUUUACCCCUUUCCCAUUUCCAUGAAAUUAAAAGGAAAUGCAUAGCCAAGUGUUUUUUCCCAGAAGAAAAUAAUAAGAAAUAUGCUGAUUUUACAGAACAGUAUGAACAGUUAUAAGGGUCUAUGUAAAAGGCAGCGUGUGUUCAUUCUCCAUGCAUACUAUUAGUAAAAAUGAAUGGACUUUCUCCUCAUCUGUUUUUAUUUAGAGCAGGACCUUCUUGCAUUGAAUUUCCUGUGUCAGCUGUGUUCUAAUUCUGUAAAGCCUUUGGUUAAGGAACAGCUCUGACUCUAUAUCCCUAUCUUUUCCUUUCCCAUGUCUUAAUUUUGAGUUCUUAUCACUCUGAUAAUAAGCAGACAUUUCUGAAAAUCAGAAAUCCUGCAGUUCCACUUUAGUUUUUCUUUCUCUUCCACUACCUUUCCUCUCUUAGAACAGUAAAUAUGUCAGAUGGGAACCUAAAGUCAACCUCUGUGCUGUCUUGCUCUGACUUAAAUGCUCUCAUCCAAGUAGGUGGCAUUUCUCAUGAGGGGCCAGACAGAGUUAUGGAACACCACAAGCAGGGUAGCCUUCGGAUUUGACUUGAGAAAUUAGGAAGAAUCUGGUGGUCCUGACUAAGAGUGCCAGUGAUAAAAAUCCAGGUGAGCACAGACCAUUGUCAUAAGAGGGGCCUGCACACAGUUCUAGAUAGGUAUGUUUACAGGAAUUCGUGGUCUGAAUAGCAGGGCUAGAUCAGAUUUGAGAUCUGAUUUACCUAAUACUAGAAAGAAUGUAGUCAGUCAGGAGACUCAGGCCGGACUUUUUAUUUGAUAAAGAAAUGAAACUGUUGAUGUUGGUUUCUUCAGUAGGAUUUCUCUACUUCUUUUAGACUUCUCAAAAGGUUUUUGUUUCUUUAGUUGUUGCUUUUGUUGUUGUUCCCCUACCCUCAGAAAUCCUGUUAUAUAAAUAAAAUCACUAAUUUUCCAACUGUAGUAUCUAAUUGUUACAAGCUGAAUUUUGGCAAAUCAAAUGACACAAGGAUAAUAUUCCAAUUCUUUAUUUUUUCACAUUACACAGUUAUCCCCCUAAUUAGUUUUGCUGGGAGCACCCUCAUAUGGGUUUAUAUGGAAUUGGAAACAAUGUUGGUAAAUUAGAGAGUACAUUCAAAAUUAUGACUACACAGUGGAAAUAAGAAUGUAAUAAUCUUUUACAGCAAAGGCUGUACAGAUUGUUUUAAAGGAUUAAAGAAACAGUGAACUAAGGGAUGACAGAAAAUCAUUUGGAACAUAGCAAUUCCACCCUUGAACCUGUAAAUAUCACAUUAUAAAUUUUAUAUGUGAGAUUUUCAUUGUAUUAUACUACCAGAUAAAGCAACCAUAAACAUAGAUUGCUAAGUUUCUUAAUGCACAUGCUUUGAGAAAUGACCUCAAAGCACAACUGGAUAGCUGUUGGGAUUUUUUUCCUAAGUAAUACAGAGCUGUGAGGUUUGAAGUGUGUUCUAAUCAUUGUACUUUCGGAAUUUUCAGAAAAAAAUAGAGGUGAUGCUAACUUGUAUGUUUUGGAUUUUGUAACUUUGUUCUUGACAUGUUAUAACUCUGUAAAACGGAGCUAUAAAAUAGAUUAGACAGUUUACAUAUUUUUUAAAAUCUGAAUGAGUUCAUAUAGUUCAGCUAAAGAUGAAACACUGAUAAAAUUCAGUCAGUAUCACUAUUGAUUUGACAACAUUUCUCCUGCUCCUCUUUUGUCUGCUGACUCCUGCCAGCAAAAUAAAGUAGAUUUACUAGUACACUAUAAUCUUUAGAGUUCUUACAAGGCACAAACAGCAAUUUGCUACCUGAGAAUAGAAAUGCCAAAAUAAGAUAAAAUGUCUAUCAAAUUGGGUACACAGAUCUUUUAAAAAAAUUUACUCUACAUUUUCUUAAGCUCACUUGGAGUGAUUGGACAAAAGUGUUCAGAUUGAAAUGGAUGCAGUCCCCUGAUGUUAAAAUGUUGCUGGGACAAAAGUUACAUAUCGGGUUGUUAAAAAAAACAUGGCAGAAGCCUCUGUGGACUAUGUGUAUGUGAAAAUGGCACAUUUCAACAGCAUGAUCUGUCUAUAGGAUAAGAUGGUGGUUCCUCAAGUUGAGGGGGCAUCAGAAUAACCUGGAGGUUUGUUAAAAUACAGAUUGCUGAACUUCAUCCUCAGAGUUUAUGACUUAGUAGACCUAGAUGGUAUGCAAGAAUUGACAUUCUAGUAAAUUCUCAGGUAUUUCUGAAAUUGGUGGUCCAGGGACUCUACUUGGAGAACCACUUGAAUCACAAUUAUGUUUCUGUAACUAUUUAGAAUAAUUAGCAGGAAGCAGAGUGAGGAAAAUCCUGGAAGCUUAGAUUAGAUUGUAAAUAUGAAAUAUUGCAAACUGAUAGCUUAAGGCUGGCACCAAAGGGUUUAAGAAUUGAAUGUUCAUAUCACCCUCUACUAAAUAUGUAGGACACUUACCGUGAGACUGGGGAUUAGGGAUUCACAACAUUAUAAAGGGUAAAAAAAAAAUCCUUUCUAUACAGCCAACUAUUGAUCUCUACAAAUUGUCCGUAUAGCCUCUCUGUUAAAUACGCCUAUAAAUAGGAUCAACUUUGAAAUAGAAAUAUUUUAGGUUAAGCUUCAGGCCAUCCCUGUGAACUUUAUUUACACACACACACUCAAAUAUAUGUAUAAAAACCUGCAAAAAAUAUAUAGCCACAUUUGUGUAAAUAUGUAUACACACAUAUAUACGUAUGUAUUUAUAUACACAUUUCUAAGACAGUGUGAUAGGUGAACACUUACGUUUCCUAAACUUUAGCUUCAUUAUGUUAUCCUUUGUUCCCUAGAUUCACUAAAUAUUUCACAGCAGGCUCAAGGUCU